UACGUAGGGGGCUAGCGUUGUCCGGAAUCAUUGGGCGUAAAGCGCGUGUAGGCGGUCCGGUAAGUCCGCUGUGAAAGUCGGGGGCUCAACCCUCGGAUGCCGGUGGAUACUGUCGGGCUCGAGUACGGAAGAGGCGAGUGGAAUUCCUGGUGUAGCGGUGAAAUGCGCAGAUAUCAGGAGGAACACCAAUUGCGAAGGCAGCUCACAAAGCCACUAUUGACGCUGAGGCACGAAAGCGUGGGGAUCAAACGGG
This 253-nucleotide ribosomal RNA is filed under the name uncultured bacterium. Its description in RNAcentral is "partial 16S ribosomal RNA". It matches the Rfam family "Bacterial small subunit ribosomal RNA", at positions 524 to 776 of the family's 1533-position model. The record is from RNAcentral.